GCCAUUACUGCUGUGACCUCACUUAGGGGCGGGUCCUCUGGGUCAGAUGCCCAAAAGGGUUUAAGAAUCCAGGGGUCAGGGAGCGUCAGCCCAGGCAGGGACUCUGAAGAGCACCCGGAUGAACGCCUCGCUGUACAUGCAUGGAUGCAUGGGCCCCAGAAGGACAGACACAGGAGCGAUUGUUAACUGAUCCACCUGAUUAUGGACAUUCAGUGUGAAUACCUGCAGCAUUUUCAGUGCGUUUUUUAGAGUACUAGUCCCUUCUACCUUCAGUUAGGAUUAGGUGUGGCUAUGAACACAGAGACCCAAAGAAACUGUGGCUUAAAUAAGAUCAGAGUUGAUUUCUCUCCCUUAUGAAGGUCGAGAAGCAGGUAACCCAUCAUGGUGAACUGGAUGGUGAGCUGGAGAAGUCCGUGUUGCUGAGCACUUGAUGCAGCAGAGCAGGGACAGUCCGAGGCCCUGCCUGGGAACUGACAAUCGGCCCGAGCUUCUGGCCUAGGCCUCUGUCCAAUACGAAGAACAAGCACCAUUUCCUAACUUGCCCAACCACCAGAAACAUCUUUUCGUGCGCCUGCAGAGUACAAGGAUGUGUGCUGGCUGUUUGGUUUGUGCUUUAUUUUUUACUUUUAUUUUUGGAAAAAUUUCAACUAUAAACUGUACUAGUCAGGGUUCUCCAGAGAAACUGAACCAAUAGGAUAGAUAGAGUGAGGGAGAUUUAUUAUAAGGGUUUGGCUCACGUGGUUAUGGAGACUCAGAUGUCCCACAGUCUGCCGUCUGUAAACUGGAGACCCAGGAAAGCUGCUGGUGGAGUUCCAUUCCAAACCUGAAGGCCUGAGAACCAGGAGAGCCAGUGAUGGAGGUCCCAGGCCAAGUCUGAAGGCCCGAGAACGAGGAGCACUGAGGUCUGAGGACAGGAGAAGUUGGAUGUCUCAGCUCAAGCAGGAGAACAAAUUUGCCCUUCCUCCACCUCUGUGUUCUACUGGAGCCCUCUGUGGAUUGGAUGAUGCCCACCCGCACUGGGGAGAGUAUCUCCUUUACUCUGUCUACCAACUCAAAUGCCAACCUCUUCCAGAAUCACCCUCACAGACGUCCGGAAAUAAUGUUUCACCAGCUCUCUGGGCAUCCCAGUCAUGUUGACACACAAAAGUAGAGAGAAUCAUAUAAUGAAUCCCCAUGUGUCUGUCAUUCAAUUUCAACAGUGACCAUCUCAAUGCCAACUUAGUUUCACCUAUACUCCUCCCCCAGGAGAGAUCAUGAAAACAGGAAAGAGCUGGUGGCAGAAGCUUGUUGAAAUGACCCUCAAGAGGUGGGGUGGGUCUGGUGGGCAGUCCCCCCCGCCCUGACUUCACCCCAGAGUUCUCUGGGGGCAGCCGCAGGUGUCUGGGUGGAAAGAGGUCUGAGAGUUAACGUGUGCUUGGGACGGAGAGAACAGUGUGCCCUGGGUCUGCCUCACCUCGCUCUUGCCGUUCUUUGUCUCAGCUUAGAAGCCACUUUUCUGCGGUCAACCCAGUUGCCACCCCCCACCCCCAAAUGGGCUGGGUGCCCCU
This is a non-coding RNA of Callorhinus ursinus (northern fur seal), 1547 nucleotides long. Lineage: Eukaryota; Metazoa; Chordata; Mammalia; Carnivora; Otariidae. The record is from RefSeq and is a predicted model, not a curated record.